AGAAUGUCGCGGUGAAUACGUUCCCGGGCCUUGUACACACCGCCCGUCACACCAUGAGAGCUGGUAACACCCGAAGUCCGUGAGGCAACCGUAAGGAGCCAGCGGCCGAAGGUGGGAUUAGUGAUUGGGGUGAAGUCGUAACAAGGUAGCCGUAGGAGAACCUGCGGCUGGAUCACCUCCUUU
Molecule: non-coding RNA, 183 nt
Organism: Clostridium sp.
Lineage: Bacteria; Bacillati; Bacillota; Clostridia; Eubacteriales; Clostridiaceae
Source: Rfam